AGUGAACGCUGGCGGUAGGCCUAACACAUGCAAGUCGAACGGCAGCACAGUAAGAGCUUGCUCUUACGGGUGGCGAGUGGCGGACGGGUGAGGAAUACAUCGGAAUCUACUUUUUCGUGGGGGAUAACGUAGGGAAACUUACGCUAAUACCGCAUACGACCUACGGGUGAAAGCAGGGGAUCUUCGGACCUUGCGCGAUUGAAUGAGCCGAUGUCGGAUUAGCUAGUUGGCGGGGUAAAGGCCCACCAAGGCGACGAUCCGUAGCUGGUCUGUGAGGAUGAUAAGCCACACUGGAACUGAGACACGGUCCAGACUCCUACGGGACGGAGCAGUGGGGAAUAUUGGACAAUGGGCGCAAGCCUGAUCCAGCCAUACCGCGUGGGUGAAGAAGGCCUUCGGGUUGUAAAGCCCUUUUGUUGGGAAAGAAAAGCAGCAGGUUAAUACCCCGCUGUUCUGACGGUACCCAAAGAAUAAGCACCGGCUAACUUCGUG
This 492-nucleotide ribosomal RNA is filed under the name uncultured bacterium. RNAcentral describes it as "partial 16S ribosomal RNA". It matches the Rfam family "Bacterial small subunit ribosomal RNA", at positions 29 to 507 of the family's 1533-position model. The record is from RNAcentral.